CUCGCUCGGCCGCGUCAGGAUCCGACGGGGGCGUCUGUAGCCAGGGAAACAAAUAUUCAAUGGCGAUUAAAGAGGCAUAUAUGGAGAUGAUGCCUUAAAAGAAAACUUCGUUAUUAAUAAUACUGAUCACAGAAGCUACCACACACUGAGAUGUUCUCAGGACUUUGGAGUUAUUACUACAUCUAAUCCUCACUCCAGCCAGAGGGAGAAACAAUCUCCACAGAGGGCUCAGCACCCACCUUCUCUUGCAAAUUCCCAGUCCCAGCAUCGGCACUGAGUCUCAGCUUUCAUGAGAAGCAGCUUUUGGUGUUUCAGCAAUAGUUCUGGGGCCUUCUCUGACCGCUGUCAGGGACACAAGCGGCUGCAGCCAGCAGCUGACACAUAAAGCACAUUUACUACACCUACAGCGCACAGCUUGUCGUUUGCUUGGGAGACCCGGAACAGGAGCGGGUUUGAGCUGAGUCUGAGGACCGCAGUCGGGGCCCAAAGGGCUAAAGGCGUCUCGCUUCCUCCAAACACUACUUGGAGCUCUUCCUCCUC
Long non-coding RNA from Heterocephalus glaber (naked mole-rat), 540 nucleotides. NCBI's taxonomy places the organism in Eukaryota, Metazoa, Chordata, Mammalia, Rodentia, Bathyergidae. The record is from Ensembl.